GAUGAACGCUGGCGGCGUGCCUAAUACAUGCAAGUCGAGCGAACAGACGAGGAGCUUGCUCCUCUGACGUUAGCGGCGGACGGGUGAGUAACACGUGGAUAACCUACCUAUAAGACUGGGAUAACUUCGGGAAACCGGAGCUAAUACAGGAUAAUAUAUUGAACCGCAUGGUUCUAUAGUGAAAGACGGUUUUGCUGUCACUUAUAGAUGGAUCCGCGCCGCAUUAGCUAGUUGGUAAGGUAACGGCUUACCAAGGCAACGAUGCGUAGCCGACCUGAGAGGGUGAUCGGCCACACUGGAACUGAGACACGGUCCAGACUCCUACGGGAGGCAGCAGUAGGGAAUCUUCCGCAAUGGGCGAAAGCCUGACGGAGCAACGCCGCGUGAGUGAUGAAGGUCUUCGGAUCGUAAAACUCUGUUAUUAGGGAAGAACAAAUGUGAAAGUAACUAUGCACGUCUUGACGGUACCUAAUCAGAAAGCCACGGCUAACUACGUG
This 497-nucleotide ribosomal RNA is filed under the name uncultured bacterium. Its description in RNAcentral is "partial 16S ribosomal RNA". It matches the Rfam family "Bacterial small subunit ribosomal RNA", at positions 28 to 507 of the family's 1533-position model. The record is from RNAcentral.